Molecule: long non-coding RNA, 4445 nt
Filed under: Triticum aestivum (bread wheat)
Lineage: Eukaryota; Viridiplantae; Streptophyta; Magnoliopsida; Poales; Poaceae
Description: long non-coding RNA (TAES_LNC028121)
Source: RNAcentral
UUAGUUCUGAGUGAAUUCCCUCGGUAUGAUAAUUCUUUCAUCAGUUUGUUCCCUGUUUCUUCUCUAUCCUGAGCCUGACACACUAUUCUAGCUAGACAUGGGUGUGGCUCGUAACACCUGAUGACUAAAUGGAUCGACGGCACCAUCGAAUCUCAAACUUUAACUGCCAAAACUAUUGUUUUUCAUCCUGUAGUCCCAUUUAGAAUUAGUAAACGUCCUUUUUUGGGCCGAGAUUUAGAGGAACGCUUUCUCGGGGUUUGUGUGCAAGUAUUUCAAACCAUACGGACCUAAAAAUUAGAAGUCAUUCCAUCUUUAUUCCCCUAGUCAUCAGGUAUACACUCAAGUCGGAGCACGUUAUCAUUCUUGUUAGUUCUGAGUGAAUUCCCUCGGUAUGAUAAUUCUUUCAUAAAUUUGUUCCCCGUUUCUUAUAUGGCCUGAGCCUGACACACUAUUCUAGCUAGACAUGGGUGUGGCUCGUAACACCUGAUGACCAAACGGAUCUACGGCACCAUCAAAUCUCAAACUUUAACUGCCAAAACUAUUCUUUUUCAUUCUGUAGUCCCUUCUAGAAUUACUAAACGUCCUUUUUUGGGCCGAGAUUUCCAGGAACGCUUUCUCGGGGUUUGUGUGCAUGUAUUUCAAACCAUACAGACCUAAAAAUUAUAAGUCAUUCCAUCUUUAUUCCCGUAGAGCCUUCCAGUAGUUCCUAAACCGCUCCAGUCGGAGCAUGUUAUCAUUCUUGUUAGUUCUAAGUGAAUUCCCUCGGUAUGAUAAUUCUUUCAUCAGUUUGUUCCCCGUUUCUUCUCUAGCCUGAGCCUGGCACACUAGUCUAGCUAGACAUGGGUGUGGCUCGUAACACCCGAUGACUAAAUGGAUCGACGGCACCAUCGAAUCUCAAACUUUAACUGCCAAAACUAUUGUUUUUCAUCCUGUAGUCCCAUUUAGAAUUACUAAACGUCCUUUUUUGGGCCGAGAUUUAGAGGAACGCUUUCUCGUGGUUUGUGUGCAAGAAUUUCAAACCAUACGGACCUAAAAAUUAGAAGUCAUUCCAUCUUUAUUCCCCUAGAGCCUUCCAGUAGUUCCUAAACCGCUCUAGUCGGAGCACGUUAUCAUUCUUGUUAGUUCUGAGAGAAUUCCCUCGGUAUGAUAAUUCUUUUAUCAGUUUGUUCCCCGUUUCUUCUCUAGCCUGAGCCCGACACACUAUUCUAGCUAGACAUGGGUGUGGCUCGUAACACCUGAUGACCAAACGGAUCUACGGCACCAUCGAAUCUCAAACUUUAACUGCCAAAACUAUUGUUUUUCAUCCUGUAGUCCCUUUUAGAAUUACUAAAUGUCCUUUUUUGGGCCGAGAUUUCCAGGAACGCUUUCUCAGGGUUUGUGUGCAAGUAAUUCAAACCAUACGGACCUAAAAAUUAGAAGUCAUUCCAUCUUUAUUCCCCUAGAGCCUUCCAGCAGUUCCUAAACCGCUCAAGUCAGUGCACGUUAUCAUUCUUGUUAGUUCUAAGUGAAUUCCCUCGGUAUGAUAAUUUGUUCAUCAGUUUGUUCCCCGUUUCUUCUCUAGCCUGAGCCUGACACACUAUUCUAGCUAGACAUGGGUGUGGCUCGUAACACCUGAUGACCAAACGGAUCUACGACACCAUCGAAUCUCAAACUUUAACUACCAAAACUAUUGUUUUUCAUCCUCUAGUCCCUUUUAGAAUUACUAAACGUCCUUUUUUGGGCCGAGAUUUCCAGGAACGCUUUCUCGGGGUUUGUGUGCAUGUAUUUCAAACCAUACAGACCUAAAAAUUAGAAGUCAUUCCAUCUUUAUUCCCGUAGAGCCUUCCAGCAGUUCCUAAACCGCUCCAGUCGGAGCAUGUUAUCAUUCUUGUUUGUUCUGAGUGAAUUCCCUCGGUAUGAUAAUUCUAUCAUCAGUUUGUUCCCCGUUUCUUCUCUAGCCUGAGCCUGGCAAACUAUUCUAGCUAGACAUGGGUGUGGCUCGUAACACCUGAUGACCAAACGGAUCUACGACACCAUCGAAUCUCAAACUUUAACUACCAAAACUAUUGUUUUUCAUUCUAUAGUCCCUUCUAGAAUUUCUAAACGUCCUUUUUUGGGCCGAGAUUUCCAGGAAUGCUUUCUCGGGGUUUGUGUGCAAGUAUUUCAAAUCAUACGGACCUAAAAAUUAGAAGUCAUUCCAUCUUUAUUCCCCUAGAGCCUUCCAGUAGUUCCUAAACCGCUCCAGUCGGAGCACGUUAUCAUUCUUGUUAGUUCAUAGUGAAUUCCCUCGGUAUGAUAAUUCUUUCAUCAGUUUGUUCCCCGUUUCUUCUCUAGCCUGAGCCUGGCACAGUAUUCUAGCUAGACAUGGGUGUGGUCGUAACACCUGAUGACUAAAUGGAUCGACGGCACCAUCGAAUCUCAAACUUUAACUGCCAAAACUAUUGUUUUUCAUCCUGUAAUCCCAUUUAGAAUUACUAAACGUCCUUUUUUGGGCCGAGAUUUAGAGGAACGCUUUGUUGGGGUUUGUGUGCAAGUAUUUCAAACCAUACGGACCUAAAAAUUAGAACUCAUUCCAUAUUUAUUCCCCUUGAGCCUUCCAGCAGUUCCUAAACCGCUCUAGUCGGAGCACGUUAUCAUUCUUGUUAGUUCUAAGAGAAUUCCCUCGGUAUGAUAAUUCUUUUAUCAGUUUGUUCCCCGUUUCUUCUCUAGACUGGGCCCGACACACUAUUCUAGCUAGACAUGGGUGUGGCUCGUAACACCUGAUGACCAAACGGAUCUACGGCACCAUCGAAUCUCAAACUUCAACUGCCAAAACUAUUGUUUUUCAUCCUGUAGUCCCUUUUAGAAUUACUAAACGUCCUUUUUUGGGCCGAGAUUUCCAGGAACGCUUUCUCGGGGUUUGUGUGCAAGUAUUUCAAACCAUACGGACCUAAAAAUUAGAAGUCAUUCCAUCUUUAUUCCCGUAGAGCCAUCCAGCAGUUCCUAAACCGCUCCAGUCGGAGCACGUUAUCAUUCUUGUUAGUUCUGAGUGAAUUCCCUCGGUAUGAUAAUUCUUUCAUCAGUUUGUUCCCCGUUUCUUCUCUAGCCUGAGCCUGACAAACUAUUAUAGCUAGACAUGGGUGUGGCUCGUAACACCUGAUGACCAAACGGAUCUAUGGCACCAUCGAAUCUCAAACUUUAACUGCCAAAACUAUUGUUUUUCAUCCUGUAGUCCCUUUUAGAAUUACUAAACGCCCUUCUUUGGGACGAGAUUUCCAGGAACGCUUUCUCGGGGUUUGUGUGAAAGUAAUUCAAACCAUACGGACCUAAAAAUUAGAAGUCAUUCCAUCUUUAUUCCCGUGGAGCCUUCCAGUAGUUCCUAAACCGCUCCAGUCGGAGCACGUUAUCAUUCUUGUUAGUUCUGAGUGAAUUCCCUCGGUAUGAUAAUUCUUUCAUCAGUUUGUUCCCUGUUUCUUCUCUAGCCUGAGCCUGGCACACUAUUCUAGCUAGACAUGGGUGUGGCUCGUAACACCUGAUGACUAAACUGAUCAAUGACACCAUCGAAUCUCAAACUUUAACUGCCAAAACUAUUGUUUUUCAUCCUGUAGUCCCAUUUAGAAUUACUAAACGUCCUUUUUUGGGCCGAGAUUUCCAGGAACGCUUACUCGGGGUUUGUGUGCAAGUAUUUCAAACCAUACUGACCUAAAAAUUAGAAGUCAAUCCAUCUUUAUUCCCCUAGAGCCUUCCAGCAGUUCCUAAACCGCUCCAGUCGGAGCACGUUAUCAUUCUUGUUAGUUCUGAGUGAAUUCCCUCGGUAUGAUAAUUCUUUCAUCAGUUUGUUCCUUGUUUCUUCUCUAGCCUGAACCUGACACACUAUUCUAGCUAGACAUGGGUGUGGCUCGUAACACCUGAUGACCAAACGGAUCUACGGCACCAUCGAAUCUCAAACUUUAACUGCCAAAACUAUUAUUUUUAAUCCUCUAGUCCCAUUUAGAAUUACUAAACGUCCUUUUUUGGGCCGAGAUUUAGAGGAACGCUUUCAUGCGGUUUGUGUGCAAGUAUUUCAAACCAUACGGACCUAAAAAUUAGAAGUCAUUCCAUCUUUAUUCCCCUAGAGCCUUCCAGCAGUUCCUAAACCGCUCCAGUCGGAGCAUGUUAUCAUUCUUGUUAGUUCUGAGUGAAUUCCCUCGGUAUGAUAAUUCUUUCAUCAGUUUGUGGCCCGUUUCUUCUCUAGCCUGAGCCUGACACACUAUUCUAGCUAGACGUGGGUGUGGCUCGUAACACCUGAUGACCAAACGGAUCUACGGCACCAUCGAAUCUCAAACUUUAAGUGCCAAAACUAUUAUUUUUAAUCCUGUAGUCCCAUUUAGAAUUACAAAAAUGUCCUUUUUUGGGCUGAGAUUUCCAGGAACGCUUUCGUGCGGUUUGUGUGCAAGUAUUUCAAACCAUACAGACCAAAAAAUUAGAAGUCAUUCCAUCUUUAUUCC